GACGAACGCUAGCGGCAGGCUUAAUACAUGCAAGUCGUACGGGGAUCCGAGGUAGCAAUACUUUGGUGAGAGUGGCGCACGGGUGCGUAACACGUAUGCAACCUACCUAUAACCGGGACACAACCUCGAGAAAUUGAGGCUAAUAUCCCAUAACACUGCGAGAUGGCAUCAUUUUGCAGUUAAAACUCCGGUGGUUAUAGAUGGGCAUGCGCGACAUUAGCUAGUUGGUGAGGUAACGGCCCACCAAGGCUACGAUGUCUAGGGGUUCUGAGAGGAUUAUCCCCCACACUGGUACUGAGACACGGACCAGACUCCUACGGGAGGCAGCAGUAAGGAAUAUUGGUCAAUGGGCGCAAGCCUGAACCAGCCAUGCCGCGUGAAGGAUGACGGCCCUAUGGGUUGUAAACUUCUUUUGUACGGGAAAAAACCUCUGGUCGAGAAUCAGAGCUGAUGGUACCGUAAGAAUAAGCAUCGGCUAACUCCGUG
RNAcentral lists this ribosomal RNA (486 nucleotides) under uncultured bacterium. Its description in RNAcentral is "bacterial SSU rRNA". It matches the Rfam family "Bacterial small subunit ribosomal RNA", at positions 28 to 507 of the family's 1533-position model. The record is from RNAcentral.